This 635-nucleotide ribosomal RNA is filed under the name Sancus acoreensis. RNAcentral's name for it is "partial 16S ribosomal RNA". The stretch from base 137 to 422 matches the Rfam family "Eukaryotic large subunit ribosomal RNA", at positions 2407 to 2988 of the family's 3401-position model. Lineage: Eukaryota; Metazoa; Arthropoda; Arachnida; Araneae; Tetragnathidae. The record is from RNAcentral.
UUAAGGUAGNCAUAAUCAUUAGACUUUUAAUUAGAGCCUAGAAUGAAGGGUUAAACAUUUUUCUUUCUUUUUUANNAAUUCUUUAAUAAAACUUUUAUUAAAAAUAAAAAUAUUUUUAUAUUUUAAUUAGACGACNAAGACCCUAUCAAACUUUACUUUAGUUUAACUGGGGCAGUUAAUUAAUAAAAAUUUUAAUAAAGAUUAAGUACUAAAUAGANNNCCCAACANUAGUUGAUUACANUGAACAAGUUACUGUAGGGAUAACAGCGUAAUAUAUAUCUAAAGUUCUUAUUUUGAUAUAAGUUUGCGACCUCGAUGUUGAAUUNAUAUUACUUUCAAGCGCAAGAGCCUGAAAAGUGGGUCUGUUCGACCCCUAAAUAUAUACAUGAUUUGAGUUCAAAUCGGUGUAAACCAGAUUGGUUUCUAUCUAUUNUUAUUUGUGUCUUAGUACGAAAGGACCUGAAACAAUAUUAUAUAAUNAUUUAUAUGGCAGAAAAAUGCUUUAGAUUUAGGAUCUAAUUAUAAUAGAUUAUCAUACUCUAUUUAACUUGCCUAAUCUCUGUUAUUAGAAUCCUUAUCGCAGUAGCUUUUUAUACCCUCCUAGAACGAAAAAUUCUAAGCUACAUCCAAAUUCG